AUUGUGGACUCGUAUGAAAGGCAAAAUGAGAGCCUGACUGUCUCUUACAACUAAUCAAUUAAACUGAUCUCCCAGUACAAAAGCUGAGAUACCCUCAUAAGACCAGAAGACCCUGUGAAGCUUUAACUAACCUAUUAAAACCCAUAAUAAUUAGUUUCGGUUGGGGCGACCUUGGAACAAAAAAGAACUUCCAACAUAUGACCUCCUCAUAUAUAAGGCAAACAAGCCACAUUAGACCCAGUAUAUCUGAUUAAUGAACCAAGUUACUCCAGGGAUAACAGCGCUAUCUUCUUCAAGAGCCCAUAUCAAAAAGAAGGUUUACGACCUCGAUGUUGGAUCAGGACAUCCUAGUAAUGCAACCGUUACUGAGGGUUCGUUUGUUCAACGAUUAACAGUCCUA
Molecule: ribosomal RNA, 400 nt
Filed under: Vipera ammodytes (sand viper)
Lineage: Eukaryota; Metazoa; Chordata; Lepidosauria; Squamata; Viperidae
Description: partial 16S ribosomal RNA
Rfam family: Bacterial large subunit ribosomal RNA
Source: RNAcentral